UUCAACUUUAUCAAAAUUUCAUCUAAUUCAUAAUAAUUUUUCUUACUCAGUCGAGUCUCGACAUUUCCGAGGUGCACACCCAAUCUACAAAAUCUCUCUCUAUUUUGCUCAUAAGCCUCACUCUAUAAGCUUUGAAUUUUCCCAGAAUUGUAAGUUCUAUACUUUUUGGAGUGAGAUUUGAAGAAUCCCAAUUGACAAAAAGGCAAUCUUUUGCGAUUGGGAUUUUAAAUUAUGGUUGAAUUUUCAACUGUUUAAGAUCUGGGUGUGUCUUUAGAAUUUUCAAAGGGAAGAGGAUGUAUGCUGUGGGGAGACUAGGUAGCUAUAUAUCUCGUGGUGUUUAUACUGUGUUUGGUCCAUUUCAUCCCUUUGGUGGUGCUGUUGAUAUAAUUGUAGUUGAACAACCUGAUGGGACCUUGAAAACAUCACCUUGGUAUGUUCGGUUUGGUAAAUUUCAAGGGGUUUUAAAGACGAGGGAAAAGGUUGUUAGUAUCUGUGCUAAUGGAAUCGAAGCCAAUUUCCAUAUGUUUCUUGAUCAUAAAGGGAAGCAUAUUUUUUAAGGGAAGUAGAUGGUGAAGAAGGGGAAUCUGAAGGUGUUCUAUUUCCUUUUCCUUCGGGAUAUGAUACGGAUGAGCCUAUGUCUGGUAAAAGAAUGCCAAUGAAGACUAAAAGUUGUAACUAUGAUGCUGAUAGGUCUAAUUCCGCGGGUGAAGUUGAUGUGAGUAAUGGGAAGAUUUUGGCUAGGACUACUUCUCGGAGGUCACGGAUAUUUGGACUUGUUUUUGGACGGAGGUCGAUGAAGGAGGAUGGUUACCAGGAAGCUAUAUGUGCUGCUGAUGUAAUGAGGUUAGAUCCAUUGGAGCGUGCUGAAAUUGCUGCUGACUUGUUGGAGGUGAAGUGUUCUACUAAUCUUAUAUCUAAUAGAUCAAAUACUAAUGGUUCUGGAUUACCUUCCACGAAUGAUGCAUUGGAUAAUAAAGGCUACGAAGAGCAUACACUGAUUACUCGUGAAGAAAACCAGUUUCAAUCUUCAGUACAUGAUGAGGAGGGAAAGAAUAAUGUUGAAGAAAACCAGUUUCACUCUGCAGUAUAUCAUGAGGAAAAUGGUGUUGGUCACCAGACAUUACUAGAGGAAACUGAAUGCUGCAAUGAGCAAAAUGGGUUGGAGCUUUUGGAUGAGAUUAGAAGUUCUGAGAUUUUGCUAACAGAGUUGUGUAUAAUACAUUGAUUUCAAGUUUUUAUAAGGAAGGUAAAACUGGUGAUGUUGAAAGUUGGUGGAAAGAAUGAGAGAGGACGGUGUAAGGGAUGUUCAUAAUUAAACCCUAUAAACUUUGAAGAAUUAAACAGUCACUUGCUCAUUUUCCAUAUUCAUAAUCAAUAUUCUCACAUUAUUGUGCAUAUCUAUUUCUUUCUCUGCUUAUUAUUUAUUUUACUUUUUGGUGCAGCUGACAUGCAAGCAGCAACCUCUAAUGUUCUACCAACUUUAUCUCUGGAUGUUAAUAGAAGCUUUCUGCAAGGCAAGUGAUUUUGGAGUAGCGAAGGAGCUUGAAAAGAUUGGUCUAUAUGUGGUCACAAAGAGCUUACAUACAGUUUCUAGUACCCUCACACACAAACAAAUGAACUCAGGUAGUUAUUAUUUUCUUAGCUAAGAACAAGAUCAGAAGGCUGUAAAACUAGUUGUAGAUCAUUAAUUCAUGAUUGAUUUUUACUUUCCUUCAUGUUUUCUAUUGGACCUUGUGCAAUUUGUAGGAGUCACUCAAUUAGUGCUCUAUGCAAAGCAGGAAAGAUAGAUGAAGCUAAAAAUAUUUCUACCGUUAUCUAAUAAAAUCCUAAUAUUUCUACCUUCA
Gossypium raimondii (Peruvian cotton) is the source of this 1844-nucleotide RNA transcript. RefSeq lists it as uncharacterized. NCBI's taxonomy places the organism in Eukaryota, Viridiplantae, Streptophyta, Magnoliopsida, Malvales, Malvaceae. The record is from RefSeq and is a predicted model, not a curated record. The transcript has 3 exons.